CAUGCCGUAAACGAUGAGUGCUAAGUGUUGGGAGGUUUCCGCCUCUCAGUGCUGCAGCUAACGCAUUAAGCACUCCGCCUGGGGAGUACGACCGCAAGGUUGAAACUCAAAGAAAUUGACGGGGGCCCGCACAAGCGGUGGAGCAUGUGGUUUAAUUCGAAGCUACGCGAAGAACCUUACCAGGUCUUGACAUCUUCUGCAAUCUGUAGAGAUACAGGGUUCCCUUCGGGGACAGAAUGACAGGUGG
Molecule: ribosomal RNA, 247 nt
Filed under: uncultured Lactobacillus sp.
Lineage: Bacteria; Bacillati; Bacillota; Bacilli; Lactobacillales; Lactobacillaceae
Description: partial 16S ribosomal RNA
Rfam family: Bacterial small subunit ribosomal RNA
Source: RNAcentral